GAUGUUGUUAAAAUAGGCUAACUGGGCUUGAGCAUCCAAGAUGAGCGCCUCCACCUCCAACGGCACGUGAGUUUUUUCCUGCACGGCUUCAAAGAGAUUCAAGCUGUUGGUCUCCAAGUACAGUACUUCGUUUCUUCUCGAACUGAAGUGCUUCAACGCCUCCACCGGAGCGAGGGUUUCCACCUGGAUGGGCGAGGAAGCUGGGAUUUUUUUAGCAAAUCCGUCUAUCAAAACUCCUGAGGCAUCUCGGAGGACUCCUGCGACCGCUCCCUCUGGACUACCAGCUACGAAGGAACCGUCGACGUUUAUCUUAAAGGACUGAUUCUUCGGCGGACACCAAUUCAAGGGGUUGGGGGGUUUUCGACGGAAUACAAGAUCGUUCCUUGCUUUCCAGAUGUACCGGAGAAGGGCUGCGAUUUUCUCUAAGGGAAGGGAGUUACCUGGCUUUUGUUGGUGAUUUCGUAGCCAUUCGUCCAUUCGCGUGAUGUUCUGACCCGAGAGCUGUAUAUUUAAUGCAGGGUCAUUCCAAACCGAGCCGGUCCAAGGGCAGAGCAAAAACAGAUGUUCCACCGUUUCGAUUUUGUGAUUACAAAACGGACAAACUGGCACAGGGAUUUUGAAGAUGGACAAUGCAUAUUGAGGAAGAAUUUGGACAACGGUUUUAAUCAAAAUUUCCUUCCCUGCCUUCGAUAUCAAGUUCUCCUGCCAUCCCUCUAAUUUCAUAUUAACUCUUGCUAACAACCAAGCAAAAAUUUGUUUUUUGGACUUCCCCCAAUCAGAAGGGAUCCCUAAAUAUUUCCCAGUUUUGUCAAUAACGGGAACUCUCAAUGCAUUAGCCAUAUUUCUUUUCAAGUUCGGUGGACAGUUUAAACUAAAGAACAUGCCAGACUUGUUCAGGUUUAUAGCUUGCCCUGAGGCAUAGCAAUAUUGGUUCAGUAUCAACGCAAGGUUUUGGCAUUCUUGCACCUUCCCAUCUAAGAGGAAUAUUGAGUCAUCAGCGAAUAGUAGAUGGGAAACGGUUGGAUAGUACCUGUUCAGCUUGAUUCCAGUUAUCGUCCCGUCAUUCACUGCUUUCUUCAUCAAGGCCGAGAGAGUAUUAGCCACUAAGAUUAAUAAAUAUGGAGAGAUAGGAUCACCUUGACGAAUCCCUCUUGAUGGUUGGAAAUAAGGUAGUGGCUCACCAUUUAAUUUGACACUUAAAGAUGGCGAGGUGACCCAUUUCAUAACUCUAUCCACCCGUAAUGUACAGAAUCCCAUAUUUGAUAGGCAUGUCUCCAAAAAGUCCCACUCCACUCUAUCAUAUGU
Syzygium oleosum is the source of this 1305-nucleotide long non-coding RNA. RefSeq lists it as uncharacterized. Lineage: Eukaryota; Viridiplantae; Streptophyta; Magnoliopsida; Myrtales; Myrtaceae. The record is from RefSeq and is a predicted model, not a curated record. The transcript is spliced from 3 exons.